RNAcentral lists this long non-coding RNA (4790 nucleotides) under Salmo salar (Atlantic salmon). Its description in RNAcentral is "lncRNA (ENSSSAG00000093422.1)". Lineage: Eukaryota; Metazoa; Chordata; Actinopteri; Salmoniformes; Salmonidae. The record is from RNAcentral.
UGAGUAGGUGUGUCCAAACUUUGAGGUUGAGUUUAUUGAGUUAAUUUUAUUUUUACAGGGACAGUGCACAUUAAUCAACGUUUCAGUAGAAGUGCCGGUUUUAGCCAGCCGGCUAAUUUUCAACCGCAGUCCCUGGGCAGGUUAUUAAAAACAAUUACAAUACUGACAAUCAAUGAGCAGUGAGCACACGUAGAGCAUCUUUGGACCAGCAAGACAUAGCAUGCAGACAGAGCAACAUAGCACAAAAAGCAACAAGACAAAAUCCAUAAAAGCAACAGUGUUUCCACACCUCACAAGGUACAGACAACAGACAACAUGGAAAGCGGCAAUACACAGCUAGGGAUUAUGUUCACAAAUCUGAUUCACCUUUAGCCAUGUCUUCAUGUUUUUUGUGAAAGUGUGAUAGGUGGUGCAGUUAUGUGUGUCUGAUGGCAGUGUAUUCCAGACGUGGGAAGCUCUCACAGAGAAAGCGGAUUGACUCAAGGUGUUUUUCCUUAAGGGAACUAUAUCAAAUCAAAUCAAAUCAAAUUUAUUUAUAUAGCCCUUCGUACAUCAGCUGACAUCUCAAAGUGCUGUACAGAAACCCAGCCUAAAACCCCAAACAGCAAGCAAUGCAUGUGAAAGAAGCACGGUGGCUAGGAAAAACUCCCUAGAAAGGCCAAAAACCUAGGAAGAAACCUAGAGAGGAACCAGGCUAUGAGGGGUGGCCAGUCCUCUUCUGGCUGUGCAGGGUGGAUAUUAUAACAGAACAUGGUCAAGAUGUUAAAAUGUUCAUAAAUGACCAGCAUGGUCAAAUAAUAAUAAUCAUAGUAGUUGUCGAGGGUGCAACAAGCACGUCCGGUGAACAGGUCAGGGUUCCAUAGCCGCAGGCAGAACAGUUGAAACUGGAGCAGCAGCACGGCCAGGUGGACUGGGGACAGCAAGGAGUCAUCAUACCAGGUAGUCCUGAGGCAUGGUCCUAGGGCUCAGAUCCUCCGAGAGAAAGACAGAAAGAGAGAAAGAGAGAAUUAGAGAGAGCAUAUUUAAAUUCACACAGGACACCGGAUAAGACAAGAGAAAUACUCCAGAUGUAACAGACUGACCCUAGCCCCCGACACAUAAACUACUGCAGCAUAAAUACUGGAGGCUGAGACAGGAGGGAUCAGAAGACACUGUGGCCCCAUCCGAUGAUACCCCCGGACAGGGCCAAACAGGCAGGAUAUAACCCCACCCACUUUGCCAAUUACAGCCCCCACACCACUAGAGGGAUGUCUCCAACCACCAACUUACCGUCCUAAGACAAGGCCGAGUAUAGCCCACAACGAUCUCCGCCAUGGCACAACCCAAGGGGGCGCCAACCCAGACAGGAAGACCACGUCAGUGACUCAACCCACUCAAGUGACGCACCCCUCCCAUGGACGGCAUGGAAGAACACCAGUAAGCCAGUGACUCAGCCCCUGUAAUAGGGUUAGAGGCAGAGAAUCCCGGUGGAAAGAGGGGAACCGGCAAGGCAGAGACAGCAAGGGCGGUUCGUUGCUCCAGCCUUUCCGUUCACCUUCACACUCCUGGGCCAGACUAUACUUAAUCAUAGGACCUACUGAAGAGAUAAGUCUUCAGUAAAGACUUAAAGGUUGAGACUGAGUCUGCGUCUCUCACAUUGGUAGGCAGACCAUUCCAUAAAAAUGGAGCUCUAUAGGAGAAAGCCCUACCUCCAGCCGUUUGCUUAGACAUUCUAGGGACAAUUAGGAGGCCUGCGUCUUGUGACCGUAGCGUACGUGUAGGUAUGUACGGCAGGACCAAAUCGGAAAGAUAGGUAGGAGCAAGCCCAUGUAAUGCUUUGUAGGUUAGCAGUAAAACCUUGAAAUCAGCCCUUGCCUUAACAGGAAGCCAGUGUAUACAGUCACCUCUCAUGGCAGACCUUGUGGAUCUGCUGCCAUAUGUUUGGGUUUUCUGUUUAACAAAAGUACUGAGUGGAGGGGGAGCCAGGCCAUUUAGGAUCUUGAAUACAAGACAUGCGUCGGUGUAUUACACAAGAUUUUCCCAACUCAGGAGCGCAUGCUUUCUGAGGAUGUAACAGUGAUGAUGGCUUUUGGGCUUCCUAUCAAGCACUUUGAGAGCCUGUUUGUAGACAGACUGAAUGGGUUUUAAUGUUGUACAGCAAGCUUGGGCCCAACUAGUCAAGCAGUAUGUUAGGUGGCGGAGUCAAACAAAUACGUAUAAAUCAGAAAUUAGCUAUGUUGAAUUUGGUUAUUUGAAUGACCUUUUUCACCUGCUUUUUAAAAGAGAGGUUGGAAUCAAGUAUGAUGCCAACGUACUUAAAAUCAGAUACCACCUGGAGCUUCUCCCCUGACACAUAGACAUCUGGCUCAGUAGCAUCUGUUGCCCUCUUUGUGAAGAACAUGCAGACAGUUUUUUUCAUAUUGAGAUGCAAACACGAGUCACUGAGCCACUUUGUAACCUGGACCAUUACAGUAGAUAUUUCUUGUGCAGCUUGUUGUUUGCUCUUUGCAUGCACAUAUAUCACUGUAUCAUCCGUAUACAUUUGAACUUCAGACCCAGUACAGACAGAAGGCAGAUCAUUAAUGUACAGGCUGAACAGGAGGGGCUCCAGUAUUGACCCUUGGGGCACGCCCACAUCAUAGCUAAGAGUGGACAACAGCUCAUUGCUCACUCUGACACACUGAGUUCUGCCUUCAAGGUAUGCUUUCAUCCAUCUCAAGGCAUCGGGGGAAAAGUUGAACUUGGACAAUUUUGUGAUGAGAUCCUCAUGGUUAACAGUAUCAAAAGUCUUCCUUAGGUCCAGAAACACAGCCCCAAUAAUGCCCCCUUUGUCCAUCUUGGACUUCACAUUUUCCAGAAGAAAGCAGUUGGCCGUUUCUGUGGAGUGUUUCGCUCUGAAGCCAAACUGCAUGGAGUGUAAUGUGAAGGGGCUGUUGUUGAGGUGGGCAAUCAGUUGUUCUGCUACACCAUUUUCAACAACCUUCGACACCACAGGCAGUAUACUAAUGGGCCCGUAGUUGCUCACGUCAGCAGGGCCACCCGAUUUAAAGAUGGCCGUUAUGAUGGCCGACUUCCAUACCCUUGGAAACACCCGCAGACCAAUAGAUGUGUUGGUGACCUUAGUAAUGGGGCCAAUGAGUGAAUCUUUGUAGUUUUUAAGAAAGGUAGAGUCCAGCCCAAACACAUCUUUGGCUUUAGAGUUCUUUAGUGAGCUAAUCACCUUGUUCACCUUUGACUCAGAAACCUCCAGAAAUCACCUUUUGACUGUUACUGUGUGUAAAUGUGAUAUUUCAGUAUUUGAUUUUGUAUAAAUUUGCUAAAACCUGUUUUUGCUUCAUCAUUAUGGGCUAUUGUGUGUAGAUUGAUGAGGGGAAACAACUAUUUAAUAUAUUUUAGUAUAAGGCUGUAACCUAACAAAAUGUGGAAAAAGUCCAGGGGUCUGAAUACUUUCUGAAGGCAAUGUAUAUACUGCAUUCUAUUGUAUUUUAGUCAAAGCCACUCCGACAUUGCUCGUCCUAAUAUUUAUAUAUUUCUUAAUUUCCAUUCUUUUACUUUUCGAUUUGUGUGUAUUGUUGUGAAUUGUUAGAUACUACUGCACUGCUGGAGCUAGGAACACAAGCAUUUUCCUACACCCACAAUAACAUCUGCUAAAUAUGUGUAUGUGACCAAUACAUGGACAAAAUAAAAAUCAUAUCACAAUAUCUUUCAAAUUUUUGACGUUAUGACAGUAUUUGCCGGAAUUUUAUGUUAUUGAAUAAUAAAAGUUCUGAAUAUGCUUUAUGAGUAGUUGAUGACCCUUGGGUGGCAACACAUAUAUUAUACAUGAUUUCAAUGGGGCUUUCUCCAUUUAUACUGUUCAAUCGAACUCAAAAGAAAAAUAAUUUUCAGCAUUUCAUAAAUUUCUGCAUUUCCUGCACUUUUAUUUUCAUUUCCACAUUGUUCCAUGCAGCAUGAUAUGGGCCCAACAAAUCUAGGUCUAGUUAAUUGAACUGUCGGAAUCAUGGAAAUAGAAUGAUUAUUUUAAUUCUAUAGUUGGAAUAUAGUGGCCAGCACAUUGAAUACAUUGUUGAUUGGCAUGACAACAAAUGAUUAAGCCAGUGAGGAAUUGUCGACAGGAUAGGAACCAAAGUUUUUGUCAGUGUUUCCAGGUGACCCUAAUUAGAUUUUACAGUAUUUUUUUCAUACUUCAUGUAGCUAGCUAGUUAGCCAACAUAUUAAUCCUUCACUUAUUCCUCUCUGAUUUAGAAGAUACUGUUGCACAAACACGCUUAUCUAGGCCUACACCAGCACUGGUACCAGGCAGUAUUAGCUAACUAGCUACAUUUGCUCUGACUCUUAUUUUAGCAAGCUAGCUAGCCAGAUAACUAGCGAUUAGCAUUAGCAGCUAACACAAAUUAUUUUAGCAACACCUUGCUAACAAAAGACAAACUAGCAAACAGUAAGAUACAUAAACAAAUAGUGUAAUUAUAGAACGCUUGUGAAAAGCAGCAUGUAACCAACAUUGUAUCCACCUGACCAUGUGGAGGGAAUGGUAGAAAGGACUUUGUGGAUGAGCAUCUGCUCUCUCCAUGAGUGACAGGAGGCAGGGCUUGGUGUGGUUAACGGCAUGGAGGAGGAGAGGAAGAGAGAUGACUCCAGAAGCACAGAAGCAAACAGAUUAAACUUCAAAACUGACAUUAUACUCGCUGGAGUUGCGUAUCACAUUUAACAUACCAAACAUUGAAAUACCAUUAUAGAAGGUCAAGUAAAAACUCAUACCGAUCCGUGCAUCAAUACCGGUAUAUAGUAAAAUACGGUAUACAAGCCAGCCC